GGGCCCGCACAAGCGGUGGAGCAUGCGGUUUAAUUCGAUGCAACGCGAAGAACCUUACCUACUCUUGAAUCCACGGGAUCUGUCAGAGAUGACGGAGUGCCUUCGGGAACCGUGAGACAGGUGCUGCAUGGCUGUCGUCAGCUCGUGUCGUGAGAUGUUGGUUAAGUCCCGUAACGAGCGCAACCCUUGUCCUUAGUUACCAUCAUUAAGUUGGGGACUCUAGGGAGACUGCCGGUGAUAAACCGGAGGAAGGCGGGGACGACGUCAAGUCAUCAUGGCCCUUACGAGUAGGGCUACACGCGUGCUACAAUGGCCGGUACAGAAGGCAGCCAACCCGCGAGGGGAG
This 346-nucleotide ribosomal RNA is filed under the name uncultured bacterium. RNAcentral's name for it is "bacterial SSU rRNA". It matches the Rfam family "Bacterial small subunit ribosomal RNA", at positions 917 to 1266 of the family's 1533-position model. The record is from RNAcentral.